CAACAUAGGGUGAUAGAAAGGGGCAUCUCCUGUCAAUCCUGACGGCUAAUAGGGUCACACCGAUCGGCUCCCUUGCAUGUUGUCACCUAUAAGGCUGACCAAAGAGGGGCGCAGGUCAACUUGGUUGCCUGGGGCCCAUUGCCCUCGACGAUCGAACCAUACCGCUUGUUGUUGGUUGCAGUGGCCAACAGGCUACCGUCUUACUGUCGAGUGGAGUGAUGAUUUAUCCCUUGCCUUCCACGUCGAUGUCUUGGUGGCGACCAACUGACGGGCUGGUCUAGUUGCCAGAAUAUUCUCUACCAACUUUCCACCUAGCAAAUAUACACACCGGAUAAGUAAAUUAAAUAUUAACACAAUGUUGCAAAUACAAACUACUUUUAUGUUUUUUUUUUUACUUACCUGGCAAAGUGAAUCAUUCAAUACACAACAAGAUAACAAAAACUAAAAGCCAAUAAAUGAUCUAUAGCUUAGAAAAUGAUUUCUGCUCAAAGAAUUGCUCCACUAAUGGAUUGCCGAUCCACAUGCCACUAUGACAUGUUAAUUUUGCUUUAAUUUAGUGUAAAUAUCGUUGAAACAAGAAAUAUAAUCACUUUUGGCUAAAUAAAAUCACCAUUCAUGGCACGACUCAUUGACUUUUUUGCAUCUAUUCAUACCACUCUGUUGACAAAUGGGGGUAAAUUACAUAUUAAACUUAUUUUCUAUAGAACUCUGUUUUUUAAUUUAUUUACAUUUAUAUUUCUGAAUAUUCUCUUCUAUAUUAGAAAAUUAAUAAUAAAUCAUAAAUGCAGAAAAUAGCAAGUAUAAGAUUUAUGUAUUACCUAAUUCAUAAAAAAGAAAAUCCUUUACCAUAUGAGAAUAAUAAAAUACAAGAAAUAAGAUUCUCUUUUGAGUUGAUUCAAAUUCAACCCUAUCGCUCUCUCUUGUAUAAAUUCUAAAUUUUUUUUCUCAAUCUAAUCGUUUAGAGAAAAUCCUAUGAACAUCUAAAUUAUAUUUCCUAUAAGCUUUAUAUCAGGUUCUUGUAUUCACAUCAAAAUUAUUCAUACAAAUUGAGCUUAUCACUCAACAAAAUGAGAACUCAUACGCAGUAUGAGAAGUUCCUAACGGAAAUUUUUGGUCAUCACCAUGAUAAUGACUGAUUCAUCCUGAGACUAUCAUAUUGUAGUUUAGAAAGAGAUGAGUGUACUAUGCAUUAAACAUCACAAUGUGUUUGUUUCAUGGUUCAUAGAAUCUGCUAUGUUUUUUUUAUCAUGGCGAAUCAUUAUGACACCCUAAUGACAGACAUGCUAUAGAUAUAACAAAACAUUGUUGCUCAACUAAAUAUACUAACCACUUAGAUUGUCGAUGAUGAGAGGCAUCGAAGUAGCUCGACCUUUUCAACACAGACUUGUUAGGAUAUCUUAGAAAAGAUGGUUGCUUAUAUCAUCAAUGGAACUACACCUAAAAAUAUCCAUCAAAAUGUAGUCAUCUCUAAAGUACCAAGUAUAUAGUGAUGCAAGUACUUAAUCCGACGAAGUCACAUAGAAUUAAAAUUGGCAACAUCAUCAUUGUCCCAAGCAGCUAUAAUUUACUGAUAAAUCACUCAUGAAUUGAUCAAAUAUAGGAUUAUUGAAUAAAUUUCUUUAAAAAAACUUCAAGUUUUUAUACCAGAAUAUCGUUGACCUCAUUGUCGCCCUCCUAUCGUGGCCGCCUUCGCAUCUCGCUGCCGGCCACCGCAUCCGUGUGAUUGUCUCUGCCUUACAGCCCUUGCCCUCAUCUUACGAUUAUUUUCUCAUCCUCGUCUAUCACCCUCGGUCAUCCCUAAUGAGGUGUUGCUAAGGCCUCGCCUCUGCCCUAUCGUACCUAUUUGUCGACCUUGAUGGAUAGCCCCCACAGUGAUCGCCCUCCCUUGACUCCCCCGAUGAAGGCAUAGACAGGGAAGGCAAUAUUAGAGCAAUCACGACAAUGGAUGCGAUAGGGAGAGAUCCUCAAGGAGUCGAUAACAGUCGUUGGCGAGAUCAUCUAGGGCGACAACAAAGGAAAGGUGGAAGUGGAAGCUAUGAGGAAAUAGACAGCGUACAUGCUGACGAGGUCGCCCUCACAGACCAUCACCCGCUUUCCCUUCGGGGACUCGACCAUGGCAGACGAUGACACGAUGAUAACCCUAGACAAGAAGUGGAGACAGCGGGAUGACAGGAUGGUUGUAAGAGUAAUCUCAUCCUUCAUAAAAUAAAGGAUGUUUUAUGUAAAUAAAUAAAAAGAAAAUGCUCUCUGCUGAGAAAAAGAAAAUGAAAAAGACUUCUUUUUUGAAUUUAUUAAUUCUAUGUAAGCUAAAGUCAUGGGAGAAG
This 2324-nucleotide long non-coding RNA is filed under the name Musa acuminata (dwarf banana). RNAcentral describes it as "long non-coding RNA (MACU_LNC005156)". The record is from RNAcentral. Lineage: Eukaryota; Viridiplantae; Streptophyta; Magnoliopsida; Zingiberales; Musaceae.